UGCGCGGCCGCAGCGGCGCAUUCGGCGCUGCUCCCAUGACGAGCGUGCCGAGCGGCGCCGGCGGCGGCGGGGAUGGCGCGGCCGGCCAGGAGGAACAAGAAAGUUGUUGAUUAUUCUCAGUUUGGGGAUUUGGAAGAUGAUGAUGAAGACUUUGCACCUUCAAGCAAAAAAUCCAGAACACAGCUCAAGGAAUCAAAGAAGGAGAAAAAAGAGAAGCAAAAAAAGCCCAAAGAAGUGACUGCAUCACAGACCCAGCCACUUAGUAAAAGGUUAUCCUUGGAUGACAAACUUUAUAAAAGAGAUUUGGAAGUUGCCUUAGCCUUAUCUGUCAAAGAAAAAUCUGCAAAUCCCCAAGAGGUGCAAAAUUCAGAAGAACAAGGUAAGGAUAUUGAAUCAGAAAAUACAGAGAGGAGACCCCCUUUUUCCAACUGCAGUGUAGACAGUGAACGUUUAGGUCUCAAUCAGAUUAUGGAUGAUGAUGCACCUGAGGGUGGUGGGAGGCAAAGGACAGCAGCAUCCAAAGUUCCAGCACAUCACAAGUCAUUGGUGGUUGACAGUGAUGACAGAGAACAUGAUCCUGACUCUGAGUCAGAGUCUGUACCCAUAUCACCUGUAGCUUCUCCUUCCUGGAUAACAGAACACAACUCUGAGCCAAGGCAGAAGGUGAUGUCCAGUCCCUCAGAGGCAGCUGGGAGGCCUCUGCAUGCAUCAAGUCCUGUCACAGACAAAAAGCCUAAAUGGACACCACCAGCUCCGUCAGGAAGCAGUAAUGCCUCUGUGAAAUGUGUUCCUGUUAAAUCACCUACCCACUGCCUUAGACUUGGCCUCUCCAGACUGGCAAGAGUCAAACCUCUCCAUCCCAGUGCUACCAGCAGUUAAAUGGUCACUUUAGAUGUUGGUUGCAGUCUGGCAGAUAUUUUUGCCUGUGUAUGCUCUUACUGGAAGUCAGCAGCAUUAGUCAGGCUCAGACAGUGAGGAAUUUUCCUUGGAGCUCCUGGGGCUUCAUUGAGGACCAUGAUACCAUGCUGAGGUCAGAUCACUUUUGUUGUCCCUUCGUUCGUUAACCCAGCAGACUCGAAGUGUAUCAGUGCAAACCACAAUGAUGAAAACAGGAUGUUACCACUUCUGGUGACCCUCUGUGCAAAACCCUACUCUUUGCAUUUAAAACACUUUGUCCUGCUGCUUACAAAGAAUUUCUGGUCUGUGUCCACUCAGGUGUGACAUCAUUCUCUUGAGAGGAAGCCAAAUAGCUGUGAUGAAAAAAAAAAAAAGAACUUCUUUGAGUUGAGGCUGUUUCUGCUCUGUCCUCACACCCCCAAUAUUUACAACACGUGUACAUUUAAAUGAAGACUUUGAGCAUGAGUUGUUCCUGUACAUUUGGGAUAUUAAAAGACUGAAAUUUA
Molecule: RNA transcript, 1403 nt
Organism: Corvus hawaiiensis (hawaiian crow)
Lineage: Eukaryota; Metazoa; Chordata; Aves; Passeriformes; Corvidae
Gene: RAD51AP1
Gene name: RAD51 associated protein 1
Exons: 10
Source: RefSeq, a predicted model, not a curated record